This 63-nucleotide microRNA precursor is filed under the name Chlorocebus sabaeus (green monkey). Its description in RNAcentral is "miRNA (ENSCSAG00000020611.1)". The record is from RNAcentral. Lineage: Eukaryota; Metazoa; Chordata; Mammalia; Primates; Cercopithecidae.
UGAUCCACGGUUGGUUGAAUCUGUGGAUGUAGAACCUGUAGAUACAGAGGGCCAACUGUAUCU